UACGGGGGGGGCAAGCGUUGUUCGGAAUUACUGGGCGUAAAGGGUUUGUAGGUGGCUCGCUAAGUCAGACGUGAAAUCCCUCAGCUUAACUGGGGAACUGCGUCUGAGACUGGCGAGCUUGAGUGCAGGAGAGGAACGCGGAAUUCCAGGUGUAGCGGUGAAAUGCGUAGAUAUCGGGAGGAACACCAGUGGCGAAGGCGACUACCUGGCCUGUUCUUGACGCUGAGGCGCGAAAGCUAGGGGAGCAAACGGG
RNAcentral lists this ribosomal RNA (253 nucleotides) under uncultured bacterium. RNAcentral describes it as "partial 16S ribosomal RNA". It matches the Rfam family "Bacterial small subunit ribosomal RNA", at positions 524 to 776 of the family's 1533-position model. The record is from RNAcentral.